RNAcentral lists this ribosomal RNA (465 nucleotides) under Vreelandella stevensii. RNAcentral's name for it is "partial 16S ribosomal RNA". It matches the Rfam family "Bacterial small subunit ribosomal RNA", at positions 338 to 795 of the family's 1533-position model. Lineage: Bacteria; Pseudomonadati; Pseudomonadota; Gammaproteobacteria; Oceanospirillales; Halomonadaceae. The record is from RNAcentral.
CCUCCGGGUGGCUGCAGUGGGGAAUAUUGGACAAUGGGCGAAAGCCUGAUCCAGCCAUGCCGCGUGUGUGAAGAAGGCCUUCGGGUUGUAAAGCACUUUCAGUGGGGAAGAAAGCCUUGGGGCUAAUACCCUCGAGGAAGGACAUCACCCACAGAAGAAGCACCGGCUAACUCCGUGCCAGCAGCCGCGGUAAUACGGAGGGUGCGAGCGUUAAUCGGAAUUACUGGGCGUAAAGCGCGCGUAGGCGGUCUGAUAAGCCGGUUGUGAAAGCCCCGGGCUCAACCUGGGAACGGCAUCCGGAACUGUCAGGCUAGAGUGCAGGAGAGGAAGGUAGAAUUCCCGGUGUAGCGGUGAAAUGCGUAGAGAUCGGGAGGAAUACCAGUGGCGAAGGCGGCCUUCUGGACUGACACUGACGCUGAGGUGCGAAAGCGUGGGUAGCAAACAGGAUUAGAUACCCUGGUAGUC